Molecule: ribosomal RNA, 507 nt
Filed under: Oncomelania hupensis robertsoni
Lineage: Eukaryota; Metazoa; Mollusca; Gastropoda; Littorinimorpha; Pomatiopsidae
Description: partial 16S large subunit ribosomal RNA
Rfam family: Bacterial large subunit ribosomal RNA
Source: RNAcentral
GGCUCUUUGAAAUUGACACAUAAAGAGUCGGACCUGCCCAGUGAUAAAUUCUUUUAACGGCCGCGGUACUCUGACCGUGCGAAGGUAGCAUAAUCAUUUGCCCUAUAAUUGAGGGCUAGUAUGAAUGGUUUGACAUGAGCGUAGCUGUCUCCCUAAAAUUUUGUAAAAUUUGGUUUUUAGGUGAAGAAACCUAAAUUAAAUUGAAAGACAAGAAGACCCUAUCGAGCUUUAGAAUAGUUAAUUAAAAAAUAUAAAUAAAACAAUUAAUUUUAAUUAAAUACUUUGGUUGGGGCGACUGAGGAACAUAUAAAGCUUCCUUAAUUAAAUAAUGCUAAUAAGCAAUGAUCCAGAAAAUCUGAUUAAAAAAAUUAGUUACCGUAGGGAUAACAGCAUAAUCUUUUUUGAGAGCUCUUAUCGAAAAAAAGGUUUGUGACCUCGAUGUUGGACUAGGAUAUCCUAAAGAUGCAGAAGUCUUUAAUGGUUGCUCUGUUCGAGCAUAAAAAUCCU